GACGAACGCUGGCGGCGUGCUUAACACAUGCAAGUCGAACGGAAAGGCCCUGCUUUUGUGGGGUGCUCGAGUGGCGAACGGGUGAGUAACACGCGAGUAACCUGCCCUUGACUUUGGGAUAACUUCAGGAAACUGGGGCUAAUACCGGAUAGGAGCUCCUGCUGCAUGGUGGGGGUUGGAAAUUUUCGGCGGUUGGGUAUGGACUCGCGGCUUAUCAGCUUGUUGGUGGGGUAGUGGCUUACCAAGGCUUUGACGGGUAGCCGGCCUGAGAGGGUGACCGGCCACAUUGGGACUGAGAUACGGCCCAGACUCCUACGGGAGGCAGCAGUGGGGAAUAUUGCACAAUGGGCGGAAGCCUGAUGCAGCAACGCCGCGUGCGGGAUGACGGCCUUCGGGUUGUAAACCGCUUUCGCCUGUGACGAAGCGUGAGUGACGGUAAUGGGUAAAGAAGCACCGGCUAACUACGUG
RNAcentral lists this ribosomal RNA (468 nucleotides) under uncultured bacterium. Its description in RNAcentral is "partial 16S ribosomal RNA". It matches the Rfam family "Bacterial small subunit ribosomal RNA", at positions 28 to 507 of the family's 1533-position model. The record is from RNAcentral.